RNAcentral lists this ribosomal RNA (443 nucleotides) under uncultured bacterium. RNAcentral's name for it is "partial 16S ribosomal RNA". It matches the Rfam family "Bacterial small subunit ribosomal RNA", at positions 338 to 795 of the family's 1533-position model. The record is from RNAcentral.
CCUACGGGAGGCAGCAGUGGGGAAUAUUGGGCAAUGGGCGAAAGCCUGACCCAGCAACGCCGCGUGAAGGAAGAAGGCAUUCGGGUUGUAAACUUCCUUUCUGAGGGACGAAGAAAGUGACGGUACUUCAGGAAUAAGUCUCCGUUAACAACGAGCCAGCAGUCGCGGUAUUACGUGGGCGGCAAUCGUUCGCCGGAUUUAUUGGGUGUAAAGGUCGUGUAGGCGGGAAAGCAAGUCAGGUGUGAAAACUCAGGGCUCAACCCUGGGCCUGCAUUUGAAACUGGUUUUCUUGAGUGCUGGAGAAGUAAUCGGAAUGCGGGGUGUAGCGGUGAAAUGCGUAGAUAUACAGAAGAACCCCGGUGGCGAAGGCGGAUUGCUGGACAGUAACUGACGCUGAGGCGCGAAAGCGUGGGUAGCAAACAGGAUUAGAUACCCGUGUAGUC